Molecule: ribosomal RNA, 253 nt
Filed under: uncultured bacterium
Lineage: Bacteria
Description: partial 16S ribosomal RNA
Rfam family: Bacterial small subunit ribosomal RNA
Source: RNAcentral
UACGGGGGGGGCAAGCGUUGUUCGGAAUUACUGGGCGUAAAGGGCUCGUAGGCGGCCAACUAAGUCAGACGUGAAAUCCCUCGGCUUAACCGGGGAACUGCGUCUGAUACUGGAUGGCUUGAGUUUGGGAGAGGGAUGCGGAAUUCCAGGUGUAGCGGUGAAAUGCGUAGAUAUCAGGAGGAACACCGGUGGUGUAGACGGCUUUCUGGACCGUAACUGACGCUGAGACACGAAAGCGUGGGUAGCAAACAGG